This 89-nucleotide transfer RNA is filed under the name Colletotrichum somersetense. Its description in RNAcentral is "tRNA-Asp". It matches the Rfam family "tRNA". Rfam says of the family: Transfer RNA (tRNA) molecules are approximately 80 nucleotides in length. Their secondary structure includes four short double-helical elements and three loops (D, anti-codon, and T loops). Further hydrogen bonds mediate the characteristic L-shaped molecular structure. tRNAs have two regions of fundamental functional importance: the anti-codon, which is responsible for specific mRNA codon recognition, and the 3' end, to which the tRNAs corresponding amino acid is attached (by aminoacyl-tRNA synthetases). tRNAs cope with the degeneracy of the genetic code in two manners: having more than one tRNA (with a specific anti-codon) for a particular amino acid; and 'wobble' base-pairing, i.e. permitting non-standard base-pairing at the 3rd anti-codon position. The record is from RNAcentral. Lineage: Eukaryota; Fungi; Ascomycota; Sordariomycetes; Glomerellales; Glomerellaceae.
UCCCCGAUAGUCUAGUGGUGAGGAUAUCUGCUUGUCACUGAAAUAGCAGCAGCACGCAGGGGACCGGGGUUCAAUUCCCCGUCGAGGAG